GCGAGAGUGGCGGAACCGGCAGACGCACUGGAUUUAGGAUCCAGCGGGAGACCGUGGGGGUUCAAGUCCCCCCUCUCGCA
RNAcentral lists this transfer RNA (80 nucleotides) under Deltaproteobacteria bacterium. RNAcentral's name for it is "tRNA-Leu". It matches the Rfam family "tRNA". From Rfam's summary of the family: Transfer RNA (tRNA) molecules are approximately 80 nucleotides in length. Their secondary structure includes four short double-helical elements and three loops (D, anti-codon, and T loops). Lineage: Bacteria; Pseudomonadati; Myxococcota; Myxococcia. The record is from RNAcentral.